UUUAUCAAAAACAUCUCCUCUUGUUUUGCUUUGUGAGGUACGGCCUGCCCACUGAUUGAUUGAAGGGCCGCGGUAUUUUGACCGUGCAAAGGUAGCAUAAUCAUUAGUUCUUUAAUUGUGAACUGGUAUGAAUGGCUUGACGAGGUACUAGCUGUCUUUUGUGGAUUGUUAUUUGAAUUUAUGUCUUGGGUAAGAAUACCUAAAUUUUUUUAUGGGACGAGAAGACCCUAUAGAGUUUGACAUGGGUAGGUUGAUCUUUUGUUAUUGUAUUUUUUGAUGGUUUAUACGUGUUUUGUUGGGGUGAUGGGAGGAUACUACGAACUCUUCCUUAUUUUGUUAUACUUGUUUGUGUUGUUUUUGAUCCUUUAUUAUUGAUUAUAAGAUUAAAUUACCUUAGGGAUAACAGCGUUAUCCUUUUUGAGAGUUCUUAUCGACAAAAGGGUUUGCGACCUCGAUGUUGGAUUAAGGUGAAUAAU
RNAcentral lists this ribosomal RNA (476 nucleotides) under Kalotermitinae sp. ENT-MG328. RNAcentral's name for it is "partial small subunit ribosomal RNA". It matches the Rfam family "Bacterial large subunit ribosomal RNA", at positions 1803 to 2548 of the family's 2925-position model. Lineage: Eukaryota; Metazoa; Arthropoda; Insecta; Blattodea; Kalotermitidae. The record is from RNAcentral.